GUGAGUAAUGUCUGGGAAACUGCCUGAUGGAGGGGGAUAACUACUGGAAACGGUAGCUAAUACCGCAUAACGUCUACGGACCAAAGUGGGGGACCUUCGGGCCUCAUGCCAUCAGAUGUGCCCAGAUGGGAUUAGCUAGUAGGUGGGGUAAUGGCUCACCUAGGCGACGAUCCCUAGCUGGUCUGAGAGGAUGACCAGCCACACUGGAACUGAGACACGGUCCAGACUCCUACGGGAGGCAGCAGUGGGGAAUAUUGCACAAUGGGCGCAAGCCUGAUGCAGCCAUGCCGCGUGUGUGAAGAAGGCCUUCGGGUUGUAAAGCACUUUCAGCGAGGAGGAAGGGUUCAGUGUUAAUAGCACUGUUCAUUGACGUUACUCGCAGAAGAAGCACCGGCUAACUCCGUGCCAGCAGCCGCGGUAAUACGGAGGGUGCAAGCGUUAAUCGGAAUUACUGGGCGUAAAGCGCACGCAGGCGGUUUGUUAAGUCAGAUGUGAAAUCCCCGCGCUUAACGUGGGAACUGCAUUUGAAACUGGCAAGCUAGAGUCUUGUAGAGGGGGGUAGAAUUCCAGGUGUAGCGGUGAAAUGCGUAGAGAUCUGGAGGAAUACCGGUGGCGAAGGCGGCCCCCUGGAC
RNAcentral lists this ribosomal RNA (632 nucleotides) under Serratia sp. MO.02. RNAcentral's name for it is "bacterial SSU rRNA". It matches the Rfam family "Bacterial small subunit ribosomal RNA", at positions 106 to 734 of the family's 1533-position model. Lineage: Bacteria; Pseudomonadati; Pseudomonadota; Gammaproteobacteria; Enterobacterales; Yersiniaceae. The record is from RNAcentral.